AACGAACGCUGGCGGCAGGCCUAACACAUGCAAGUCGAACGCCCUAGCAAUAGGGAGUGGCAGACGGGUGAGUAACACGUGGGAACCUUCCCUAUAGUACGGAAUAGCCCAGGGAAACUUGGAGUAAUACCGUAUACGCCCGAGAGGGGAAAGAUUAUCGCUAUAGGAUGGGCCCGCGUUGGAUUAGCUAGUUGGUGAGGUAAUGGCUCACCAAGGCGACGAUCCAUAGCUGGUCUGAGAGGACGACCAGCCACACUGGGACUGAGACACGGCCCAGACUCCUACGGGAGGCAGCAGUGGGGAAUAUUGGACAAUGGGCGCAAGCCUGAUCCAGCCAUGCCGCGUGAGUGAUGAAGGCCUUAGGGUUGUAAAGCUCUUUUGGUCGGGGACGGAUAAUGACGGUACCCGCAGAAUAAGUACCCGGCUAACUUCGUG
RNAcentral lists this ribosomal RNA (435 nucleotides) under uncultured bacterium. RNAcentral's name for it is "bacterial SSU rRNA". It matches the Rfam family "Bacterial small subunit ribosomal RNA", at positions 29 to 507 of the family's 1533-position model. The record is from RNAcentral.